CAGCCGCCGCGGGAAUACGGAGGGCGCGAGCGUUACCCGGAUUUACUGGGCGUAAAGGGCGUGUAGGCGGCCUGGGGCGUCCCAUGUGAAAGGCCACGGCUCAACCGUGGAGGAGCGUGGGAUACGCUCAGGCUAGAGGGUGGGAGAGGGUGGUGGAAUUCCCGGAGUAGCGGUGAAAUGCGCAGAUACCGGGAGGAACGCCGAUGGCGAAGGCAGCCACCUGGUCCACUUCUGACGCUGAGGCGCGAAAGCGUGGGGAGCAAACCGGAUUAGAGACCCGAGUAGUCCCUGUCUCUUAUAU
This 301-nucleotide ribosomal RNA is filed under the name uncultured bacterium. RNAcentral describes it as "partial 16S ribosomal RNA". It matches the Rfam family "Bacterial small subunit ribosomal RNA", at positions 509 to 809 of the family's 1533-position model. The record is from RNAcentral.